UCAGCAGCCGCGGUAAUACGGAGGGUGCGAGCGUUAAUCGGAAUUACUGGGCGUAAAGGGUGCGUAGGCGGAAGCUUAAGUCUGAUGUGAAAGCCCCGGGCUUAACCUGGGAAUGGCAUUGGAAACUGGGUUUCUAGAGUGUGGUAGAGGAUAGUGGAAUUUCCAGUGUAGCGGUGAAAUGCGUAGAUAUUGGAAAGAACACCGAUGGCGAAGGCAGCUGUCUGGGCCAACACUGACGCUGAGGUAACGAAAGCGUGGGGAGCAAACAGGAUUAGAUACCCUGGUAGUCCACGCCCUAAACGAUGUCGACUUGUCGUUGGGGGAAUUUAUUCCCUCAGUGACGGCUGNMGCGUUAAGUCGACCGCCUGGGGAGUACGCCG
This 380-nucleotide ribosomal RNA is filed under the name uncultured bacterium. Its description in RNAcentral is "bacterial SSU rRNA". It matches the Rfam family "Bacterial small subunit ribosomal RNA", at positions 508 to 887 of the family's 1533-position model. The record is from RNAcentral.